GCCUGGCAGCUCUGUGGUAGGGCAACCCCGUGGUAAGGGGAGGUCGUCGGUUCAAACCCGACGUUGGGCU
RNAcentral lists this transfer RNA (70 nucleotides) under bacterium. RNAcentral describes it as "tRNA-Thr". It matches the Rfam family "tRNA". Rfam says of the family: Transfer RNA (tRNA) molecules are approximately 80 nucleotides in length. The record is from RNAcentral.